RNAcentral lists this ribosomal RNA (448 nucleotides) under uncultured bacterium. RNAcentral's name for it is "bacterial SSU rRNA". It matches the Rfam family "Bacterial small subunit ribosomal RNA", at positions 329 to 794 of the family's 1533-position model. The record is from RNAcentral.
AGCCAGACUCCUACGGGAGGCAGCAGUGGGGGAUAUUGCACAAUGGGGGCAACCCUGAUGCAGCGACGCCGCGUGAGCGAUGGAGUACUUCGGUAUGUAAAGCUCUGUCAGCGGGGAAGAGAAUGACGGUACCUGACCAAGAAGCCCCGGCUAAAUACGUGCCAGCAGCCGCGGUAAUACGUAGGGGGCAAGCGUUAUCCGGAUUUACUGGGUGUAAAGGGAGCGUAGACGGCCAGACAAGUCAGAAGUGAAAGCCCAGGGCUCAACUCUGGGACUGCUUUUGAAACUGCCGGGCUGGAGUGCAGGAGAGGUAAGCGGAAUUCCUAGUGUAGCGGUGAAAUGCGUAGAUAUUAGGAGGAACACCAGUGGCGAAGGCGGCUUACUGGACUGUAACUGACGUUGAGGCUCGAAAGCGUGGGGAGCAAACAGGAUUAGAUACCCUCGUAUA